CAGUCGAACGAGUUCUCGUUGAUGAUCGGUGCUUGCACCGAGAUUCAACACGGAACGAGUGGCGGACGGGUGAGUAACACGUGGGUAACCUGCCCUUAAGUGGGGGAUAACAUUUGGAAACAGAUGCUAAUACCGCAUAGAUCCAAGAACCGCAUGGUUCUUGGCUGAAAGAUGGCGUAAGCUAUCGCUUUUGGAUGGACCCGCGGCGUAUUAGCUAGUUGGUGAGGUAAUGGCUCACCAAGGCGAUGAUACGUAGCCGAACUGAGAGGUUGAUCGGCCACAUUGGGACUGAGACACGGCCCAAACUCCUACGGGAGGCAGCAGUAGGGAAUCUUCCACAAUGGACGCAAGUCUGAUGGAGCAACGCCGCGUGAGUGAAGAAGGCUUUCGGGUCGUAAAACUCUGUUGUUGGAGAAGAAUGGUCGGCAGAGUAACUGUUGUCGGCGUGACGGUAUCCAACCAGAAAGCCACGGCUAACUACGUGCCAGCAGCCGCGGUAAUACGUAGGUGGCAAGCGUUAUCCGGAUUUAUUGGGCGUAAAGCGAGCGCAGGCGGUUUUUUAAGUCUGAUGUGAAAGCCCUCGGCUUAACCGAGGAAGCGCAUCGGAAACUGGGAAACUUGAGUGCAGAAGAGGACAGUGGAACUCCAUGUGUAGCGGUGA
Molecule: ribosomal RNA, 661 nt
Filed under: Lacticaseibacillus paracasei subsp. paracasei
Lineage: Bacteria; Bacillati; Bacillota; Bacilli; Lactobacillales; Lactobacillaceae
Description: bacterial SSU rRNA
Rfam family: Bacterial small subunit ribosomal RNA
Source: RNAcentral